Molecule: ribosomal RNA, 497 nt
Filed under: uncultured bacterium
Lineage: Bacteria
Description: partial 16S ribosomal RNA
Rfam family: Bacterial small subunit ribosomal RNA
Source: RNAcentral
GAUGAACGCUGGCGGCGUGCCUAAUACAUGCAAGUAGAACGCUGAAGGAAGGAGCUUGCUCUUUCCGGAUGAGUUGCGAACGGGUGAGUAACGCGUAGGUAACCUGCCUGGUAGCGGGGGAUAACUAUUGGAAACGAUAGCUAAUACCGCAUAACAGUAGAUGUUGCAUGAUAUCUACUUAAAAGGUGCAAUUGCACCACUACCAGAUGGACCUGCGUUGUAUUAGCUAGUUGGUGAGGUAACGGCUCACCAAGGCGACGAUACAUAGCCGACCUGAGAGGGUGAUCGGCCACACUGGGACUGAGACACGGCCCAGACUCCUACGGGAGGAAGCAGUAGGGAAUCUUCGGCAAUGGACGGAAGUCUGACCGAGCAACGCCGCGUGAGUGAAGAAGGUUUUCGGAUCGUAAAGCUCUGUUGUAAGAGAAGAACGAGUGUGAGAGUGGAAAGUUCACACUGUGACGGUAUCUUACCAGAAAGGGACGGCUAACUACGUG